RNAcentral lists this long non-coding RNA (421 nucleotides) under Danio rerio (zebrafish). Its description in RNAcentral is "lncRNA (ENSDARG00000117503.1)". Lineage: Eukaryota; Metazoa; Chordata; Actinopteri; Cypriniformes; Danionidae. The record is from RNAcentral.
GUUGUUUUGACAAGGUGUCCGCUGGGUAAUAGUAAAAGUCCAGUGAAUGAGGUACAAGCAUGUUUUUAAUCUUGGAUUAUAUUUGUAGACGAAUCUACAAGACUAAAAUGGGCACUAAAUCUGCAUUUACUCAGACUGAAGAGGCUGUUUCACAGGACAAUGACGGAGAGCCGAUUUAUGUCAAUGAAGUCAUGAUGUCAUCAGCCCGAGCUGCCCAACUAGGAUCUUCUUAUAAACCAUCUUAAAAUGUCUACACCCUGCUGCUUCCUGUCUACUUCAUGACAUUACGGUGAACUUCUGCUAUUUGCCAAAAUUCAGAGGAUUUAUCAAACAUUUCUCAACCGUCUUCAAUAGUGAGUAGUAUUAUUUCUGUACUACUAAUACAGAUGUAUUCUGUGCUUACGUUAUUGUUUUAUUAUUU